ACACUGGGCACGUACACACACGCUGGGCACAUAUACACACAGGUGAAGGGGCAAGUAAGUUGUAGGAAGACUUAAGGAAAAUGCUGAGAACAUAACUCUACACGGAGUGAACAUACCCACAAAUAAGAGAACAAUACCCACAAAUAAGAGAACAAAUAAGAGAACAAUACCCACAAAUAAGAGAACAAUACCCACAAAUAAGAGAACAAUACCCACAAAUAAGAGAACAAUACCCACAAAUAAGAGAACAAUACCCACAAAUAAGAGAACAAAUAAGAGAACAAUACCCACAAAUAAGAGAACAAUACCCACAAAUAAGAGAACAAUACCCACAAAUAAGAGAACAAUACCCACAAAUAAGAGAACAAUACCCACAAAUAAGAGAACAAUACCCACAAAUAAGAGAACAAUACCCACAAAUAAGAGAACAAUACCCACAAAUAAGAGAACAAUACCCACAAAUAAGAGAACAAAUAAGAGAACAAUACCCACAAAUAAGAGAACAAUACCCACAAAUAAGAGAACAAAUAAGAGAACAAUACCCACAAAUAAGAGAACAAUACCCACAAAUAAGAGAACAAAUAAGAGAACAAUACCCACAAAUAAGAGAACAAAGAAUAAUAAAGUUGAAAAAGAAUAUAAAUAACUAAGAGCUCUGAAGCCUCUCUUAAAAAAAAGUCAAAAUAGUGCCGGAAAACAAUAAAGAAUAGAACGUUGAUGAACACUUUGAAGAAGAAGAAGAAGCGGGAAGAGGAGGAAUGAACAACUUGAACAGAAGGAAGAACGGACGGAGAGAACAAGAGAACGGCACCAUUGGCAGGCAGUUGGCACGGGUGCCAGUUCGCCAGCUCAGGAGACCACGCGCACAAAAAGAUCUGGCACCAAGCUGUCCCCAAGAGUGGACAUCGCCCGUGGUACCUGCUUGAUGGGGUUCUGGGAGUUCUUCCCAAAUGGACUGAGGUGUUUUCCCAGUCGGUCAAGCCGUCGUCCCAAAGUCGGUCAAGCCGUCGUCUCCCACAGUCGGUCAAGCCGUCGUCCCCCACAGUCGG
Long non-coding RNA from Procambarus clarkii (red swamp crayfish), 1049 nucleotides. RefSeq lists it as uncharacterized. Lineage: Eukaryota; Metazoa; Arthropoda; Malacostraca; Decapoda; Cambaridae. The record is from RefSeq and is a predicted model, not a curated record.